RNAcentral lists this ribosomal RNA (253 nucleotides) under uncultured bacterium. RNAcentral describes it as "partial 16S ribosomal RNA". It matches the Rfam family "Bacterial small subunit ribosomal RNA", at positions 524 to 776 of the family's 1533-position model. The record is from RNAcentral.
GACAGAGGGUGCAAACGUUGUUCGGAAUUACUGGGCGUAAAGCGCGUGUAGGCGGCUAAGUAAGUCGGGCGUGAAAUCCCACGGCUCAACCGUGGAAGUGCACUCGAAACUGCGUAGCUAGAGUCCUGGAGAGGAAGGUGGAAUGCUUGGUGUAGAGGUGAAAUUCGUAGAUAUCGGGAGGAACACCGGUGGCGAAGGCGGGUCUCUGGGCCGAUACUGACGCUGAGGAGCGAAAGCGUGGGGAGCGAACAGG